RNAcentral lists this ribosomal RNA (720 nucleotides) under uncultured fungus. Its description in RNAcentral is "SSU rRNA". It matches the Rfam family "Eukaryotic small subunit ribosomal RNA", at positions 334 to 1058 of the family's 1831-position model. The record is from RNAcentral. Lineage: Eukaryota; Fungi.
UAGAGGCCUACCAUGGUGGUAACGGGUAACGGGGUGUUAGAGCACGACACCGGAGAGGGAGCCUGAGAAACGGCUACCACAUCCAAGGAUGGCAGCAGGCGCGCAAAUUACCCAAUCCCGACACGGGGAGGUAGUGACAAUAAAUAACAAUACGGGGUUCUUUAGGAUCUCGUAAUUGGAAUGAGUACAAUUUAAAUCUCUUAACGAGGAACAAUUGGAGAGCAAGUCUGGUGCCAGCAGCCGCGGUAAUUCCAGCUCCAAUAGCGUAUAUUAAAGUUGUUGCAGUUAAAAAGCUCGUAGUUGAAUUUCGGGGUUAGUAGGUUGGUCAUGCCUCUGGUAUGUACUGGUCUCACUGAUUCCUCCUUCCUUAUGAACCGUAAUGCCAUUAAUUUGGUGUUGCGGGGAAUUUGGACUGUUACUUUGAAAAAAUUAGAGUGUUUAAAGCAAGCUAACGCUUGAAUACAUUAGCAUGGAAUAAUGAAAUAGGACGUUCGAUCUUAUUUUGUUGGUUUCUAGGAUUGACGUAAUGAUUAAUAGGGAUAGUUGGGGGCAUUAGUAUUCAAUUGUCAGAGGUGAAAUUCUUGGAUUUAUUGAAGACUAACUACUGCGAAAGCAUUUGCCAAGGAUGUUUUCAUUAAUCAAGAACGAAAGUUAGGGGAUCGAAGACGAUCAGAUACCGUCGUAGUCUUAACCAUAAACUAUGCCGACUAGGGAUCGGAU